GAUGAACGCUGGCGGCGUGCCUAAUACAUGCAAGUCGAGCGAACGGACGAGAAGCUUGCUUCUCUGAUGUUAGCGGCGGACGGGUGAGUAACACGUGGAUAACCUACCUAUAAGACUGGGAUAACUUCGGGAAACCGUAGCUAAUACCGGAUAAUAUUUUGAACCGCAUGGUUCAAAAGUGAAAGACGGUCUUGCUGUCACUUAUAGAUGGAUCCGCGCUGCAUUAGCUAGUUGGUAAGGUAACGGCUUACCAAGGCAACGAUGCAUAGCCGACCUGAGAGGGUGAUCGGCCACACUGGAACUGAGACACGGUCCAGACUCCUACGGGAGGCAGCAGUAGGGAAUCUUCCGCAAUGGGCGAAAGCCUGACGGAGCAACGCCGCGUGAGUGAUGAAGGUCUUCGGAUCGUAAAACUCUGUUAUAGGAAGAACAUAUGUGUAAGUAACUGUGCACAUCUUGACGGUACCUAAUCAGAAAGCCACGGCUAACUACGUG
This 495-nucleotide ribosomal RNA is filed under the name uncultured bacterium. Its description in RNAcentral is "partial 16S ribosomal RNA". It matches the Rfam family "Bacterial small subunit ribosomal RNA", at positions 28 to 507 of the family's 1533-position model. The record is from RNAcentral.